Molecule: ribosomal RNA, 327 nt
Filed under: Escherichia marmotae
Lineage: Bacteria; Pseudomonadati; Pseudomonadota; Gammaproteobacteria; Enterobacterales; Enterobacteriaceae
Description: bacterial SSU rRNA
Rfam family: Bacterial small subunit ribosomal RNA
Source: RNAcentral
UGUUGGGUUAAGUCCCGCAACGAGCGCACCCCUUAUCCUUUGUUGCCAUCGGUCCGGCGGGGAACUCAAAGGAGACCCCCAGUGAUAACCUGGAGGAAGGUGGGGAUGACGUCAAGUCAUCAUGGCCCUUACGACCAGGGCUACACACGUGUUACAAUGGCGCAUACAAAGAGAAGCGACCUCGCGAGAGCAAGCGGACCUCAUAAAGUGUGUUGUAGUCCGGAUUGGAGUCUGCAACUCGACUCCAUGAAGUCGGAAUCGUUAGUAAUCGUGGAUCAGAAUGCCACGGUGAAUACGUUCCCGGGCCUUGUACACACCGCCCGUCAC